AGAAGUAAAAAGUCGUAACAAGGUUUCCGUAGGUGAACCUGCGGAAGGAUCAUUAUUGAAAUGCUUUGGAGAAGUACUGUUGCUGGCCUCUUAACAAAGGCAUGUGCACGUUCUUCUUUAAAUCUAUUCAUCCACCUGUGCACUUUUUGUAGGAGUUCUUGUGAGGUUUUGGUUGUGGGGCUUGCUCUGCAGUCGAUUCUUUACGAGUCUUCUAUGUCUUACAAACUCUAUUAGUAUGUUUCAGAAUGUCAUUUAUUGGGACUUCAUUGGCCCUUUAAACUUAUACAACUUUCAGCAACGGAUCUCUUGGCUCUCCCAUCGAUGAAGAACGCAGCGAAAUGCGAUAAGUAAUGUGAAUUGCAGAAUUCAGUGAAUCAUCGAAUCUUUGAACGCACCUUGCGCCCUUUGGUAUUCCGAAGGGCAUGCCUGUUUGAGUGUCAUUAAAUUCUCAACUUCAAUAGUUUUUAUAGCUCAUUGAAGCUUGGAUGUGGGGGCUUGCUGGCGUCUUAGAUGUUCGGCUCUCCUUAAAAGCAUUAGUGGAAACUCGUUUGUUGGACCACCCUUGGUGUGAUAAUUAUCUACGUCUUGGUCAGUUCGACAGCUCAGUUCGAUCCUCAGAACGCUCCUCGGAGUGCUCUGGUUGGGGCGGCUGCAUUAACUUGCUCUGCCUGUAGUCUUACUAGAGUAGGGAUGUCUGCUUUCUAACCGUCUUCGGACAAUUUAUUGACUAUUUGACCUCAAAUCAGGUAGGACUACCCGCUGAACUUAAGCAUAUCAAUAAGCGGAGGAAAAGAAACUAACAAGGAUUCCCCUAGUAACUGCGAGUGAAGAGGGAAAAGCUCAAAUUUAAAAUCUGGCAGUCUCCGAUUGUCCGAGUUGUAAUUUAGAGAAGUGUUACCCGCGUUGGACCGUGUACAAGUUUCCUGGAAUGGAACGUCAUAGAGGGUGAGAAUCCCGUCUUUGACACGGACUACCAAGGCUUUGUGG
This 987-nucleotide small RNA is filed under the name uncultured Marasmiaceae. Its description in RNAcentral is "eukaryotic LSU rRNA". The stretch from base 733 to 987 matches the Rfam family "Eukaryotic large subunit ribosomal RNA", at positions 1 to 249 of the family's 3401-position model. The record is from RNAcentral. Lineage: Eukaryota; Fungi; Basidiomycota; Agaricomycetes; Agaricales.